CAGUAGCCACGGGAAUACGGAGGGGGCUAGCGUUGUUCGGAAUUACUGGGCGUAAAGCGCACGUAGGCGGCUUGGUAAGUUAGAGGUGAAAGCCCGGAGCUCAACUCCGGAAUUGCCUUUAAGACUGCCGAGCUAGCAGGUGAGAGAGGUAAGUGGAAUUCCGAGUGUAGAGGUGAAAUUCGUAGAUAUUCGGAAGAACACCAGUGGCGAAGGCGGCUUACUGGCUCAUACUGGACGCUGAGGUGCGAAAGCGUGGGGAGCAAACAGGAUUAGAUACCCCGGUAGUCCCUGUCUCUUAUAU
Molecule: ribosomal RNA, 301 nt
Filed under: uncultured bacterium
Lineage: Bacteria
Description: partial 16S ribosomal RNA
Rfam family: Bacterial small subunit ribosomal RNA
Source: RNAcentral